UCGAACGUAGUGCACGGUGCACGCCCGGUCCUUAUGAUUUGAUCUUCAUUUCGUGAUGCCGGGAGCCUGGGUUCGACUCCCAGCGUCCGAA
Molecule: non-coding RNA, 91 nt
Organism: Mycena vulgaris
Lineage: Eukaryota; Fungi; Basidiomycota; Agaricomycetes; Agaricales; Mycenaceae
Source: the annotation of a GenBank genome assembly